This 857-nucleotide ribosomal RNA is filed under the name uncultured bacterium. RNAcentral's name for it is "SSU rRNA". It matches the Rfam family "Bacterial small subunit ribosomal RNA", at positions 524 to 1381 of the family's 1533-position model. The record is from RNAcentral.
UACAUAGGGUGCAAGCGUUGUCCGGAAUUAUUGGGCGUAAAGAGCUCGUAGGUGGUUUGAUACGUCGGGUGUGAAAUUCAGGGGCUCAACCCCUGACCUGCAUUCGAUACGGUCAAGCUAGAGUUUGGUAGGGGAGACUGGAAUUCCUGGUGUAGCGGUGGAAUGCGCAGAUAUCAGGAGGAACACCGAUGGCGAAGGCAGGUCUCUGGGCCAAUACUGACACUGAGGAGCGAAAGCGUGGGGAGCGAACAGGAUUAGAUACCCUGGUAGUCCACGCCGUAAACGGUGGGCGCUAGUUGUGCGAACCUUCCACGGUUUGUGCGACGCAGCUAACGCAUUAAGCGCCCCGCCUGGGGAGUACGAUCGCAAGAUUAAAACUCAAAGGAAUUGACGGGGCCCCGCACAAGCAGCGGAGCAUGCGGCUUAAUUCGACGCAACGCGAAGAACCUUACCAAGGCUUGACAUAUACAGGAAUACGGCAGAGAUGUCGUAGCGGUUAAACGUCUGUAUACAGGUGGUGCAUGGUUGUCGUCAGCUCGUGUCGUGAGAUGUUGGGUUAAGUCCCGCAACGAGCGCAACCCUCGUUCUGUGUUGCCAGCAUUUAGUUGGGGACUCACAGGAGACUGCCGGGGUUAACUCGGAGGAAGGUGGGGAUGACGUCAAAUCAUCAUGCCCCUUAUGUCUUGGGCUGCACGCAUGCUACAAUGGCUGGUACAAAGGGCUGCAAUACUGCAAAGUGGAGCGAAUCCCAAAAAGCCAGUCUCAGUUCGGAUUGGGGUCUGCAACUCGACCCCAUGAAGUCGGAGUUGCUAGUAAUCGUAGAUCAGCAACGCUACGGUGAAUACGUUCCCGGGGCU